This 446-nucleotide long non-coding RNA is filed under the name Ananas comosus (pineapple). RNAcentral's name for it is "long non-coding RNA (ACOM_LNC021154)". The record is from RNAcentral. Lineage: Eukaryota; Viridiplantae; Streptophyta; Magnoliopsida; Poales; Bromeliaceae.
AAUGUGACAAGGCGAAGCGGGAGGGAGGGGUUUGCACUAAAAGCGGUGGAUGGUUCACCGCCUUCGUUCAUCGCCUUCAAAAGGCGGUGAUCCAUUCACUGCCUUCACAAGACAUAUUACAAAGAUGGUGAAUUGUUCACCGUGUUUGUGAGAAAUGGCUGAUGUGGCGUCCACGUGGCAAAAUGAGGGUUAGUUUUACAAAUAAAAUUUUGGCAGGAUCAUUUUGCUAAUUUCAAAUUUUUACAGGGCCAUUUUAUAAAAAAGCCCUAAAAUUUUGAUACUUUUAAAUUUUAAAGUUUUAAAUUUCAAAUUUUAUAUUUUAUAUUUUAAAUUCUAAAUUUCAAUUUUAACUUAUAAUAUUUAUUUUCAAAUUUUAAACUUCAAAAUUUAAAAUUUUAUAUCUUUAAAUUCUAUGAAAUUAAUUAAUUAAUUUUAUUAAUAAUACG